Molecule: ribosomal RNA, 497 nt
Filed under: uncultured bacterium
Lineage: Bacteria
Description: partial 16S ribosomal RNA
Rfam family: Bacterial small subunit ribosomal RNA
Source: RNAcentral
GAUGAACGCUGGCGGCGUGCCUAAUACAUGCAAGUCGAGCGAACGGACGAGAAGCUUGCUUCUCUGAUGUUAGCGGCGGACGGGUGAGUAACACGUGGAUAACCUACCUAUAAGACUGGGAUAACUUCGGGAAACCGGAGCUAAUACCGGAUGAUGUUUUGAACCGCAUGGUUCAAAAGUGAAAGACGGUCUUGCUGUCACUUAUAGAUGGAUCCGCGCUGCAUUAGCUAGUUGGUAAGGUAACGGCUUACCAAGGCAACGAUGCAUAGCCAACCUGAGAGGGUGAUCGGCCACACUGGAACUGAGACACGGUCCAGACUCCUACGGGAGGCAGCAGUAGGGAAUCUUCCGCAAUGGGCGAAAGCCUGACGGAGCAACGCCGCGUGAGUGAUGAAGGUCUUCGGAUCGUAAAACUCUGUUAUUAGGGAAGAACAUAUGUGUAAGUAACUGUGCACAUCUUGACGGUACCUAAUCAGAAAGCCACGGCUAACUACGUG